GAUGAACGCUGGCGGCGUGCUUAACACAUGCAAGUCGAACGGUGAAGGCGGAGCUUGCUCUGCUGGAUCAGUGGCGAACGGGUGAGUAACACGUGAGCAAUCUGCCCCUGACUCUGGGAUAAGCGCUGGAAACGGCGUCUAAUACUGGAUACGAGCUGCGAAGGCAUCUUCAGCAGCUGGAAAGAACUUCGGUCAGGGAUGAGCUCGCGGCCUAUCAGCUUGUUGGUGAGGUAACGGCUCACCAAGGCGUCGACGGGUAGCCGGCCUGAGAGGGUGACCGGCACCACGGGGAAGGAGAACGGGCCAAGACUCAGGGGGGAGGCGGAAGGGGGAAAAAGGGAACAGGGGGGAAAAGCUGGAGGCGAAAGCGCGGGGGGGGGGAGGACGGCUUUGGGGUGGAAAACAUCUUUGGGAAGGGAAGAAGGAAAAGUGAGGGUACAUGAAGAAAAAGCGCCGGCUAACUAGGUG
This 468-nucleotide ribosomal RNA is filed under the name uncultured bacterium. RNAcentral describes it as "partial 16S ribosomal RNA". It matches the Rfam family "Bacterial small subunit ribosomal RNA", at positions 28 to 507 of the family's 1533-position model. The record is from RNAcentral.